This 24-nucleotide non-coding RNA is filed under the name Rattus norvegicus (Norway rat). Lineage: Eukaryota; Metazoa; Chordata; Mammalia; Rodentia; Muridae. The record is from RNAcentral.
UGUGUCCCUUGAUAUUCUCCCACC